Molecule: long non-coding RNA, 378 nt
Organism: Urocitellus parryii (Arctic ground squirrel)
Lineage: Eukaryota; Metazoa; Chordata; Mammalia; Rodentia; Sciuridae
Source: RefSeq, a predicted model, not a curated record
CCUACCAGGUGUCCGUAGACGUCGGCAGGCUGGAGGUAGAAGGUGGAGUUGAGCAGCUCUUCCAGCUUGCGCGGGACGUCGUUCUCCCGAUGGAGAGUGUUGGCGUGUACGGAUUCUGUGGGUGUAAAGCAAAGAACAAAAUGAAGUGUGAUUCGAGGUGGGAAAUAACGGCUGCAGGCUGCAGCAACUACAGCACAAGGAGAUGGUCCCAUGACGGUGAUGGGACACCUGUGCCAGCUCGCCGACUCGAUGCUUCGGCGGGUCCUGCAGGGAUGAUGGCUCUCCUUUGCUGGGUCUGAGCAAAUUCACGUGUACAUUCAGUGGCUCUGUGAACCACGAUGACAGGAUUCACACAAGGGCAUCUGGGGAGGGAUGCUG